Molecule: unclassified non-coding RNA, 253 nt
Filed under: Patescibacteria group bacterium
Lineage: Bacteria
Description: contains 16S-23S intergenic spacer region
Rfam family: Bacterial small subunit ribosomal RNA
Source: RNAcentral
UACGAGUGCCCCAAGCGUUAUCCGGAUUUAUUGGGCGUAAAGAGUCUGUAGGUGGUUUUGUAUGUCGAUGGUCAAAUCCCAGAGCUCAACUCUGGAACUGCCACCGAAACUGCAAAACUAGAGGUUGGGAGAGGUAGAUGGAAUUGCCGGUGUAGGGGUAAAAUCCGUUAAUAUCGGCAAGAACACCAAAUGCGAAGGCUUUCUACUGGAACACACCUGACACCGAGAGACGAAAGCGUGGGGAGCGAAUGGG